AGUCGAGCGGUAGAGAGAAGCUUGCUUCUCUUGAGAGCGGCGGACGGGUGAGUAAUGCCUAGGAAUCUGCCUGGUAGUGGGGGAUAACGUUCGGAAACGGACGCUAAUACCGCAUACGUCCUACGGGAGAAAGCAGGGGACCUUCGGGCCUUGCGCUAUCAGAUGAGCCUAGGUCGGAUUAGCUAGUUGGUGAGGUAAUGGCUCACCAAGGCGACGAUCCGUAACUGGUCUGAGAGGAUGAUCAGUCACACUGGAACUGAGACACGGUCCAGACUCCUACGGGAGGCAGCAGUGGGGAAUAUUGGACAAUGGGCGAAAGCCUGAUCCAGCCAUGCCGCGUGUGUGAAGAAGGUCUUCGGAUUGUAAAGCACUUUAAGUUGGGAGGAAGGGUUGUAGAUUAAUACUCUGCAAUUUUGACGUUACCGACAGAAUAAGCACCGGCUAACUCUGUGCCAGCAGCCGCGGUAAUACAGAGGGUGCAAGCGUUAAUCGGAAUUACUGGGCGUAAAGCGCGCGUAGGUGGUUUGUUAAGUUGGAUGUGAAAUCCCCGGGCUCAACCUGGGAACUGCAUUCAAAACUGACUGACUAGAGUAUGGUAGAGGGUG
Molecule: ribosomal RNA, 605 nt
Filed under: Pseudomonas sp. T42
Lineage: Bacteria; Pseudomonadati; Pseudomonadota; Gammaproteobacteria; Pseudomonadales; Pseudomonadaceae
Description: bacterial SSU rRNA
Rfam family: Bacterial small subunit ribosomal RNA
Source: RNAcentral